Molecule: transfer RNA, 72 nt
Filed under: Candidatus Blackburnbacteria bacterium
Lineage: Bacteria; Candidatus Blackburniibacteriota
Description: tRNA-Thr
Rfam family: tRNA
About the family: Transfer RNA (tRNA) molecules are approximately 80 nucleotides in length.
Source: RNAcentral
GCCGAGGUAGCUCAGUGGCAGAGCAGGGCUUUUGUAAAGCCAAGGUCGGAGGUUCAAAUCCUCUCCUCGGCU